Molecule: ribosomal RNA, 445 nt
Filed under: uncultured organism
Description: partial 16S ribosomal RNA
Rfam family: Bacterial small subunit ribosomal RNA
Source: RNAcentral
ACUCCUACGGGAGACAGCAGUGGGGAAUAUUGGACAAUGGGCGCAAGCCUGAUCCAGCCAUGCCGCGUGAGUGAUGAAGGCCCUAGGGUUGUAAAGCUCUUUCACCGGUGAAGAUAAUGACGGUAACCGGAGAAGAAGCCCCGGCUAACUUCGUGCCAGCAGCCGCGGUAAUACGAAGGGGGCUAGCGUUGUUCGGAUUUACUGGGCGUAAAGCGCACGUAGGCGGACUAUUAAGUCAGGGGUGAAAUCCCGGGGCUCAACCCCGGAACUGCCUUUGAUACUGGUAGUCUUGAGUUCGAGAGAGGUGAGUGGAAUUCCGAGUGUAGAGGUGAAAUUCGUAGAUAUUCGGAGGAACACCAGUGGCGAAGGCGGCUCACUGGCUCGAUACUGACGCUGAGGUGCGAAAGCGUGGGGAGCAAACAGGAUUAGAUACCCGAGUAGUCCC